RNA transcript from Physcomitrium patens, 597 nucleotides. It is a transcript of the gene named nuclear transport factor 2B-like, with no coding region annotated. The record is from RefSeq and is a predicted model, not a curated record. NCBI's taxonomy places the organism in Eukaryota, Viridiplantae, Streptophyta, Bryopsida, Funariales, Funariaceae.
GAUUGCUAACCUUCGGGACCUGUGGGUGGUAUGAUCGUGUUCGUGAGUGGGAACCUGCAACUGCCGGGAGAAGUGCACUUGCUCAAGUUCAUUCAGAUGUUUAAUCUCCUUCCAACACCACAGGGGAGCUUCUGCGUUAACAAUGACAUUUUCCGUCUCAACUAUGCUUAAUGUGCACCUUCAUCCACAGGAAAGAGUUGCUCUACGCAUGUUCUGUUCAAGUUUGAUGAACGUGACCGCAGUUAGUGGGCUUCAGGAUCUUGGAGCCGAAAGAUUUUGUGGCCACUUCGAGCAUAUUGCAGGCACCGAAGUGACGACCCUUCAGAUUUGGCAGUUCUGUUCCAGCCAGUUAUCGUCAGCAAAAUCUUCCCAUCCUUGUUCUCGACAAUCUACUGGAGAAUUCUCGAUUGGUAUAGAUUCUUGCUAACCCAUCGUAAAAUUCUUUGUAGGCCAAUCACUUCUGGAUUUUUUCAUGUAAUUUAUAUCCAUGGUAGCACUUUUGCAUAUUAUAAAAUCUUGCGAAGGGGGUUGUGAAUCUCCUAUCCACCAUGGAUGAGUUGAUUUUUAUUGUCAAAACGUUGUCUAUUGCCCAAGCCA